AACGAACGCUGGCGGCAGGCUUAACACAUGCAAGUCGAACGGGCGUAGCAAUACGUCAGUGGCAGACGGGUGAGUAACACGUGGGAAUAUCCCUUUCAGCUCGGAAUAACUCAGGGAAACUUGAGCUAAUACCGAAUACGUCCUUCGGGAGAAAGAUUUAUCACUGAGAGAUUAGCCCGCGUCUGAUUAGCUAGUUGGUGAGGUAAUGGCUCACCAAGGCGACGAUCAGUAGCUGGUCUGAGAGGAUGAUCAGCCACACUGGGACUGAGACACGGCCCAGACUCCUACGGGAGGCAGCAGUGGGGAAUAUUGGACAAUGGGGGCAACCCUGAUCCAGCCAUGCCGCGUGAGUGAUGAAGGCCUUAGGGUUGUAAAGCUCUUUUGCUAGGGAAGAUAAUGACUGUACCUAGAGAAUAAGCCCCGGCUAACUUCGUGCCAGCCGCCGCAGUAA
RNAcentral lists this ribosomal RNA (451 nucleotides) under uncultured bacterium. RNAcentral's name for it is "partial 16S ribosomal RNA". It matches the Rfam family "Bacterial small subunit ribosomal RNA", at positions 29 to 523 of the family's 1533-position model. The record is from RNAcentral.